RNAcentral lists this small nuclear RNA (146 nucleotides) under Echinops telfairi (small Madagascar hedgehog). Its description in RNAcentral is "U1 spliceosomal RNA (ENSETEG00000020967.1)". It matches the Rfam family "U1 spliceosomal RNA", at positions 1 to 147 of the family's 166-position model. Rfam says of the family: U1 is a small nuclear RNA (snRNA) component of the spliceosome (involved in pre-mRNA splicing). Lineage: Eukaryota; Metazoa; Chordata; Mammalia; Afrosoricida; Tenrecidae. The record is from RNAcentral.
AUACUUACCUGGCAGGGGAGAUACCAUGAUCAUGAAGGUGGUUUUCCCAGGGCGAGGCUCACCUAUUGCACUCCGGGUGUGCUGACCCCUGCGAUUUCCCCAAAUGUGGGAAACUCGACUGCAUAAUUUGUGGUAGUGGGGGAUUA